This 320-nucleotide ribosomal RNA is filed under the name Mesofila sp. RNAcentral's name for it is "SSU rRNA". The stretch from base 103 to 320 matches the Rfam family "Eukaryotic small subunit ribosomal RNA", at positions 735 to 955 of the family's 1831-position model. The record is from RNAcentral. Lineage: Eukaryota; Cercozoa; Mesofilidae.
GAUUUCUGGCGUGAUGCUUCCUGUCCGCGUCCGUUAGGCCGUGAGUACGGGACUGUAUCUGCCAUCCUUCUGGGAAGUGUGUCUGCCCUUCACUGGGUUGGGCAUGCGACCUAGAUCGUUUACUUUGAAAAAAUUAGAGUGUUUAAAGCAGGCGAUUGCUUGAAUACAUUAGCAUGGAAUAAUGAAAUAGGACUUUGGUUCUAUUUUGUUGGUUUCUAGGACUGAAGUAAUGAUUGAUAGGGACAGUUGGGGGUGCUAGUAUUCGACGGCCAGAGGUGAAAUUCUUGGAUUCGUUGAAGACUAACUAAUGCGAAAGCAUU